RNAcentral lists this unclassified non-coding RNA (349 nucleotides) under soil metagenome. RNAcentral's name for it is "partial contains 5.8S ribosomal RNA, internal transcribed spacer 2, and large subunit ribosomal RNA". The stretch from base 1 to 120 matches the Rfam family "5.8S ribosomal RNA", at positions 35 to 154 of the family's 154-position model. The record is from RNAcentral.
GAUGAAGAACGUAGCGAAAUGCGAUACGUAAUGUGAAUUGCAGAAUUCAGUGAAUCAUCGAAUCUUUGAACGCACAUUGCGCCCGCCAGUAUUCUGGCGGGCAUGCCUGUUCGAGCGUCAUUUCAACCCUCAAGCCCAGCUUGGUGUUGGGGAUCGGCACCGCGCCCCCGGGCGCCCGCCGUCCCCUAAAUCUAGUGGCGGUCCCGCUGCAGCCUCCUCUGCGUAGUAGUUUUCUCCUCGCAAGGGCAGCUCGGUGGCGACCUCGCCGUAAAACCCCCAACUUCUGAAAGGUUGACCUCGAAUCAGGUAGGAAUACCCGCUGAACUUAAGCAUAUCAAUAAGCGGAGGA